Long non-coding RNA from Oncorhynchus tshawytscha (Chinook salmon), 429 nucleotides. Lineage: Eukaryota; Metazoa; Chordata; Actinopteri; Salmoniformes; Salmonidae. The record is from Ensembl.
AAUAACACAGAUUAAAAGAUUUCAUCAUUAUACAGAUAUAAAGACUUGCAAAAUGGCUGCGUGAACAGGAGACCAUUUGAAGAAGGAUUUUAUCAUGCUUGUUUCUUCCUCCUCUUAAAGGAGCUACAUUUCAUUUUGCAAGAAAUAAUAAACUCAAAUUCGGCCACUCCGUCUCAACAAGCACUCUCUACCUCCCAGCCUUCAUUUUUAAAACAGGACGCAACUCCAUAAAUGUAUUAUUAUAGAUGACAAGGCCACUCUUCUGACUGACUUCAAACCGACCACGUCUAUGAUUCUUCCUUCUAGCCAAACCUUCCCUCUUCGUCAGGUCAACCAACACCUCAAACCUUCCCUCUUCGUCAGGUCAACCAACUCCUCAAACCUUCCCUCUUAGUCUAGUCAACCAACUCCUCAAACCUUCCCUCUUAG